GACGAACGCUGGCGGCGUGCUUAACACAUGCAAGUCGAACGGAAAGGCCCUGCUUUUGUGGGGUGCUCGAGUGGCGAACGGGUGAGUAACACGUGAGUAACCUGCCCUUGACUUUGGGAUAACUUCAGGAAACUGGGGCUAAUACCGGAUAGGAGCUCCUGCUGCAUGGUGGGGGUUGGAAAGUUUCGGCGGUUGGGGAUGGACUCGCGGCUUAUCAGCUUGUUGGUGGGGUAGUGGCUUACCAAGGCUUUGACGGGUAGCCGGCCUGAGAGGGUGACCGGCCACAUUGGUACUGAGAUACGGCCCAGACUCCUACGGGAGGCAGCAGUGGGGAAUAUUGCACAAUGGGCGGAAGCCUGAUGCAGCAACGCCGCGUGCGGGAUGACGGCCUUCGGGUUGUAAGCCGCUUUCGCCUGUGACGAAGCGUGAGUGACGGUAAUGGGUAAAGAAGCACCGGCUAACUACGUG
This 468-nucleotide ribosomal RNA is filed under the name uncultured bacterium. RNAcentral's name for it is "partial 16S ribosomal RNA". It matches the Rfam family "Bacterial small subunit ribosomal RNA", at positions 28 to 507 of the family's 1533-position model. The record is from RNAcentral.